Calidris pugnax (ruff) is the source of this 815-nucleotide long non-coding RNA. RefSeq lists it as uncharacterized. The transcript is spliced from 3 exons. The record is from RefSeq and is a predicted model, not a curated record. Lineage: Eukaryota; Metazoa; Chordata; Aves; Charadriiformes; Scolopacidae.
AAUCAGUAUACAGCUGUCAUCAGGAGCACUCCCUGCUCGGUACCAAUGACCUAAAAUCUCGUGGGAUUCAAUCACCUGCGUCCCGGACUGUAUGAAGUGUGCUCUCUCCUAUAGAAGUCAGACAUCGGGAUUUCCAUCUUCCUGGAAGACCGGCCCUUCAAAGCCAAUUUGUUCCAUGUCCCUGUUGAGUCCUGUUCCAGUGUGCAGAGGAGGAACCGUACGGAGUGGGCUGAGCCUGGCAAAGCUGGCUGCUUAGGGUGACUUCUCUGUAGAACGGAGUUCCAAAGUUACUGAAGGAGUGCUGCUGUGAGUCACCUUCCCGCCAGCCAGGUUUCUAAACUGAGCACCCAUGGCUGGAGGCAGAGUUCCAAGAGAAGCCAGCUCCCCAAAGCUCCCAUCAAGACUCAAAGGUCAGACCUAUGGAAGAAAACUGGAAAUUUGAGCCAUUUAUUUUGGGCUGUAAAUGUGAUCUAAGCAUUUCUGAAAAAAUCUCUCUGCUCUGUUCCAGUUCCAAUCAAGUUAAACAGAGUUUUUCCCUCUCAGCCUAGAGUUCAAGCCCCCAAGACCUGACUUUUUUGAUGUUCUCAGGGUGGUGUCAAACUUCACACGCUGCAAAGGCAGCUGUAGCCAUGAGGGCUGGUCUGCCAGAAGCUGGGCACACAGGAAACGCCACAAGCCACCUGUCAAAAACCUGACUGCAAUGAGAUGUGAGUGAAACCAGAAUCAGGCCUACUGCACAGAGUUAAUCAUAAAUAAUGCUGUCUCGGUAAUGGUUGCAAUUAGUUAUGAACUUCAGUCAUUUCUAACGUUUCCGU